GAUGAACGCUAGCGGCAGGCUUAACACAUGCAAGUCGAGGGGCAGCAUAAUGGAUAGCAAUAUCUAUGGUGGCGACCGGCGCACGGGUGCGUAACGCGUAUGCAACCUACCUUUAACAGGGGGAUAACACUGAGAAAUUGGUACUAAUACCCCAUAAUAUCAUAGAAGGCAUCUUUUAUGGUUGAAAAUUCCGAUGGUUAGAGAUGGGCAUGCGUUGUAUUAGCUAGUUGGUGGGGUAACGGCUCACCAAGGCGACGAUACAUAGGGGGACUGAGAGGUUAACCCCCCACACUGGUACUGAGGCACGGACCAGACUCCUACGGGAGGCAGCAGUGAGGAAUAUUGGUCAAUGGACGCAAGUCUGAACCAGCCAUGCCGCGUGCAGGAUGACGGCUCUAUGAGUUGUAAACUGCUUUUGUACGAGGGUAAACGCAGAUACGUGUAUCUGUCUGAAAGUAUCGUACGAAUAAGGAUCGGCUAACUCCGUG
Molecule: ribosomal RNA, 488 nt
Filed under: uncultured bacterium
Lineage: Bacteria
Description: partial 16S ribosomal RNA
Rfam family: Bacterial small subunit ribosomal RNA
Source: RNAcentral